CACGUGAUUGCCUUUACAUGCUUUUUUUAUAUACAUUGUUACAAUACUGAGUUUUUUUUCUCAAAAUAUCAGUUCUCUCCCUUUGUAAAACAUUUUUCAACUUACUACUGAAAAAAAGGUGUUUUCUUCAGGAAAAAAAUGCAAAUAAAAGCCCAAUAGUAAAAUUUUCCUAAAUAAGUUAGGAAAAAUGCCAUCCUUUUCACAAUCAAGUAACAAUUUUGUAUAUGUAUAAAAUAAAAUCUAAACUUAUCUUCUGGCUACACGUAGACACACUGGAAAGGAGAAACAAUUACAUUUGGCACAAAAACAUUUUGGCAAAGUGAUUAUAUUAAUCCCUUUUGGGAGCGGCACCUGUCUUCCGGUGAAGAUAGCGGCUUUUUAGUAACGCUCCGCAGGCCCAGGAGUGAUUUCAGCUAACAACAGCGAAACUACCCACUUUACCCUUACCUGUUGCCUCUCUCCACUUCACUCAUUUAAAUGGAAACUUUAUAAUCUGUAAACUCUUUACCUAACAAAUUGACCUUAAUAGCUCACAAAGGUCCCAAUUACGUGUACUCGCUUGGGCGUCAGGCUGAAAGCCCCUAAAGGAGCCCUUGCUAAUGGACUACAUAGUAUCACCAUGUCUGCGGUGAUUUUGAAAUUUCGGAUGUUGUUACAUUAUUUCCAUCCAACCAUCGCAUCAUAUUGCACAUCUUUACCCUGUCAUUGAGAGGGAAUACCGGCUCAGUUUUUUAGAAUUAUGUAUUUCUUUUUCUGUUACCUUUGUUGUAAAUGUACGAAAACCAAAAUAAAGAAUUUUGAAAAUUUUUUUAUUAACCCUUUCAAUGCUGAUGAGCACAUUUGUACUUGUGACAAUCUGAAAAGUCACAUCAUGCUCCUGCUUCCAGAGUCUGUUUAGUACGACAUGCCAGUUUAACGCUUUUAUCACAUGAGUAAAUGUAAGCAUAAUUAGCAAGUGUGCAUGUGUGAGUCUGUGUGUGCAGGUGUGAGCUCAGAAACCACACCCCUUGAUGUUCUUUUAAUUAUACCACAUUAUUAUAUUCUUUGAAUUACACUCAAUUUAUUAAAUGGUCCAAUGCCUUAUUGCUGCUCUGGCAAGUGUAGUCAGUAAAGGGGAGAGCUGAAGUGCAGUUAUUUAUACAAAACCUUUGAGUGAAGGGAAGGUAUGAUAUUACAAGACAUUUAAACAGCAUACCACGAAACAUUAAAUAGUGGUGAAUUGGUAAUGAUAUGAUGAUGUGAAAUGCUAUAAAUAGAAAAAUAUGUUGAAUUACAGAAAUAGGUCAUAUUUGGAAGGUGAUAUGGAUGCAGUGAAUUCCCAGUAGAAAUACCCGUCAAUGAAAAAGGCACAUUUUGAGCAACGUAUACCUGUGUGUGUAUAUAUGUGUCUGGGUGUGCGUGUCCGUCAGUCAUCCUGCCUGCCUGUAUGGAUGAGUGUAUGUAUUUAUUGAGAUGAAAGUGAAAAAUUUGAGUAAAAACUUUAAAAUGUUGAAGUCGAUGGACUUGAGUCUUUUUUCUUUUUCAAUUUAGAUUGCUAUGUAAAUAUUUAUUUAAUAUUAACACUUAUUUACAUUAUUUCCUGUCUCACAAAAUCAGUUGGAUAUUAAUCCCAUAAAACCGUUACAGCUUUAAAGCUGUUGCAGUGGAAUAGAACGUCGCAACAGCUUUCAGCCCUGGAGCCUCUGGG
Non-coding RNA from Pelobates cultripes (western spadefoot toad), 1687 nucleotides. Lineage: Eukaryota; Metazoa; Chordata; Amphibia; Anura; Pelobatidae. The record is from the annotation of a GenBank genome assembly.